AGAGUUUGAUCCUGGCUCAGGACGAACGCUGGCGGCGUGCCUAACACAUGCAAGUGGAGCGACGAACCGGGCUUCGGCCCGGGGCAAAGCCGCGAACGGGUGAGUAACACGUGGGUAACGUGCCCCGAUGAUUGGGACAACCCGAGGAAACUCGGGCUAAUACCAAAUGUGCCCUCCAGCCAUAAGGCUGCUGGGGAAAGGAAGCUUCGGCCUCCGCAUCGGGAUCGGCCCGCGGCGCAUUAGCUUGUUGGUGAGGUAACGGCUCACCAAGGCGACGAUGCGUAGCUGGUCUGAGAGGACGAUCAGCCACACUGGGACUGAGACACGGCCCAGACUCCUACGGGAGGCAGCAGUGGGGAAUCUUGCGCAAUGCGCGAAAGCGUGACGCAGCAACGCCGCGUGGGUGAAGACGGCCUUCGGGUUGUAAAGCCCUUUCAGUUGGGACGAAGCUUCGUCGGUGAAUAGCCGGCCGGAGUGACGGUACCUUCAGAAGAAGCCCCGGCUAACUACGUGCCAGCAGCCGCGGUAAUACGUAGGGGGCAAGCGUUGUCCGGAAUCAUUGGGCGUAAAGCGCGUGUAGGCGGCUCGAUAAGUCUGCUGUGAAAGUUCAGGGCUCAACCCUGAAAUGCCGGUGGAAACUGUCGAGCUAGAGUCCGGAAGAGGCGAGUGGAAUUCCUGGUGUAGCGGUGAAAUGCGCAGAUAUCAGGAGGAACACCAAUGGCGAAGGCAGCUCGCUGGGACGGUACUGACGCUGAGACGCGAAAGCGUGGGGAGCAAACAGGAUUAGAUACCCCCGUAGUCC
Molecule: ribosomal RNA, 802 nt
Filed under: uncultured bacterium
Lineage: Bacteria
Description: bacterial SSU rRNA
Rfam family: Bacterial small subunit ribosomal RNA
Source: RNAcentral